RNAcentral lists this ribosomal RNA (412 nucleotides) under uncultured Peptococcaceae bacterium. Its description in RNAcentral is "bacterial SSU rRNA". It matches the Rfam family "Bacterial small subunit ribosomal RNA", at positions 58 to 445 of the family's 1533-position model. The record is from RNAcentral. Lineage: Bacteria; Bacillati; Bacillota; Clostridia; Eubacteriales; Peptococcaceae.
CAAGUCGAACGAAAAGAGGGAAAGAGCUUGCUCUUUCCGGAAUUGAGUGGCAAACGGGUGAGUAACACGUAAACAACCUGCCUUCAGGAUGGGGACAACAGACGGAAACGACUGCUAAUACCGAAUAAGUCCAAGAGCCGCAUGGCCCAUGGAAGAAAAGGUGGCCUCUACCUGUAAGCUAUCGCCUGAAGAGGGGUUUGCGUCUGAUUAGCUGGUUGGAGGGGUAACGGCCCACCAAGGCGACGAUCAGUAGCCGGUCUGAGAGGAUGAACGGCCACACUGGAACUGAGACACGGUCCAGACUCCUACGGGAGGCAGCAGUGGGGAAUCUUCCGCAAUGGGCGAAAGCCUGACGGAGCAACGCCGCGUGAGUGAUGACGGCCUUCGGGUUGUAAAACUCUGUGAUCCGGGA